This 668-nucleotide long non-coding RNA is filed under the name Triticum aestivum (bread wheat). Its description in RNAcentral is "long non-coding RNA (TAES_LNC020191)". Lineage: Eukaryota; Viridiplantae; Streptophyta; Magnoliopsida; Poales; Poaceae. The record is from RNAcentral.
UCUGCACAACCCAUCUUAUCACAUUAGAUCCUCCAUGCCACCACAAAACGAGAUGGAUAUCCUAGUCCCUCACACAAAGUCUCCUUUCCAAGGGGAGGAAGGGUCAACAAUUUAGCUUUUCGUGAGGGAGUCUUGUUGAAGACUCAAUGUCCAAAUACCCAGACAUCUUCAUUAUCUUUACAACAAACACAAAUGUGUACGAGACAAAAUAGACAACUCACCCAAUGCUAAUCACCGCAUCCCCUAGAGCUAUAUAUACCCACGGCAACGCAAACACAGAUCACACAUCUCCAUACACCUUAACAAUGCAUGGUUUGUAGUACCAAAUAUUCCCCCAUCCUCAACAUUCAUUAACAACCAUAUCCUAGCUUCAUAUAUUGCCCAGAGCUUUUAGUCUAAAUCAUCCCAUCCUCUAUCAUUCUUUCACGGCCAUGCCUUAGCUCCAUAUAUUGUCCAUAGUUUUUAGUCUAAAUCAUCCCCCAUAUCCUCAACAUUCUUUCAAAACCAUGGCCUAGCAACACAUGAUGUCCAUGAGUUCCUAGUUUUUCAUCAGUAUUGUUCAUCUGUUGGAGAGUUUGUUGUGCUUGAUUAAGGAUGACAACCAUGGAAAUGGACAUGUAUAAAAUGGUGGUGCAGGAGAACGGCGAGGUCACAUACCAGCUGACCGA